Molecule: non-coding RNA, 30 nt
Filed under: Mus musculus (house mouse)
Lineage: Eukaryota; Metazoa; Chordata; Mammalia; Rodentia; Muridae
Source: RNAcentral
UCUUUUGAUUUUUAGGUACACGUUGUUUGG